AGCGAACGCUGGCGGCAGGCCUAAUACAUGCAAGUCGAACGGUCUCUUCGGAGGCAGUGGCGGACGGGUGAGUAACGCGUGGGAACGUGCCCUUUGGUACGGAACAACUGAGGGGAAACUUCAGCUAAUACCGUAUGUGCCCUUCGGGGAAGAUUUAUCGCCAUUGGAGCGGCCCGCGUUGGAUUAGCUAGUUGGUGGGGUAAUGGCCCACCAAGGCGACGAUCCAUAGCUGGUCUGAGAGGAUGAUCAGCCACACUGGGACUGAGACACGGCCCAGACUCCUACGGGAGGCAGCAGUAGGGAAUCUUGCGCAAUGGGCGAAAGCCUGACGCAGCCAUGCCGCGUGAAUGAUGAAGGUCUUAGGAUUGUAAAAUUCUUUCACCGGGGACGAUAAUGACGGUACCCGGAGAAGAAGCCCCGGCUAACUUCGUGCCAGCGGCCGCGGUAAAGUCUGUACU
RNAcentral lists this ribosomal RNA (458 nucleotides) under uncultured bacterium. Its description in RNAcentral is "bacterial SSU rRNA". It matches the Rfam family "Bacterial small subunit ribosomal RNA", at positions 29 to 531 of the family's 1533-position model. The record is from RNAcentral.